CUCUCGUACUAUUGAGCAAGACCUUUCACUCUUCCUGCUCUCAAAUAACAGGUUAGCCAAGUAACAAUUUUACUGGCUCCUGAUCUAUUUUACUAGAGAAAUCACCUUCCAAUGUGGCAGAAUCUAUUAGAAAGCACAAAAGAUAUUUCAAAGAGAUUUUUUUUCUUUUUUGAGGAAGGUUAGCCCUGAGCUGACAUCUGCCACCAAUCCUCCUCUUUUUUGCUGAGGAAGACUGGCCCUGAGCUACCAUCCAUGCCCAUCCUCCUCUACUUUAUAUGUGGGACGCCCGCCACAGCAUGGCUUGACAAGUGGUGCAUAGGUCCGCACCUGGGAUCUGAACCUGCGAACCCCAGGCCACCGAAGUGGAACGUGUGAACUUAACCACUGCACCACUGGACCAGCCCGCAAAGAGUUUUAAAUAAGAAUGCUCCAUGUUGGAAUCCAGAUGCAACGCUUUUAGAAUUCCAGUUCAGGAGGAAAUGCCAUGUGGGAGAGAACCAAGUCACUCAGCCAUCAGCCAGCAACAACUGCCCGCCACGUACUGAGCCAUCACGGAUGUCGCCGCUCAGUGGAGCUCUCUGAUGAUCGCAGUCCCAGUCAACACUGCAUUUAGCAGAUGAUCCACCAAGCUAAGCUCAGUCAACCCAGAAUCAUCCAAUCACAAAUGGCUAUUGUUUUAAAUUACUGGUUUCAGAAUAAUCUGUUCCUCAGCAAUAUAUAACCAACACAAUAUUGCCUUAUUUGCAUCAGAAGGAAAAUAAAAUGGAGACAAAGGGAAGGAAGCUCUUUGCACAGGACAGAUUUCACUAUAUUCUUAGAGCUAAGGGGAAGGAGUGAAUAGAAUUAAAGGUACAGGAGAAAGGGGAGACAACUCAGCACAUCCGUGGAGGAGACAAUUAUGAACUGGAUUAAGGAUGCAAAUUGAGGUCCUGGCUUUGUAUAGAAGGCAGAGAACUUCAUUUGAUGAGAGCGGCAGAAACGAAGUCAGCAGGGAUGAUGUUACUACUUAGUUUAGUAAACCAUUCAUUUUAAAGCAGAAUACUUAAAUUUCAUCUGCGGCCAAGCAAAUUAUUAUUUAUUUCAUGAAUUUAACUGGAAUAGAAAACAUAGAAUUUGAUUCCCUAUUUAAAAAUAAUGAGAACAGAAAGAAGGGAAGAGGCCAUCCUAAAAGUAGUAGAAAUUUGUUGAAAUUUCUCAAAUUCUUAAGUUGACUUCCAUGCAACACUUGUGGAAGGUGUUAUGUAGAUCAUUCUCUUAGGGCAUUUUGCAACGGUUUAUUUAACACAGCAAAAACCUCAGUAUCUGUUAAGAAAAGUGCAGGAAGGACUUGAAUUGUGGGAGAAAGAAAAAAUCUUCUUUUCAUCCAUUCUCUCAAAAACAUUUUUUGCUUUAAAAUUUGUUAGUUAAAAACAGGAAUGAAAUUACUUUGAAUUAUUUAAUUUUGCUUAGAUAUAUUCAGCUUUUAGGACAGUAAGUAAUUUUAGUCUUAAGUGAUUUUUUUUUAUAUUUGACAUAACCUUAAUUUACUUCUAGGAGAAAUACAUGGGAAAUAAUACCCUAGGGUCCGGCCCUGUGGCAGAGUGGUUAAGUUUCCAUGCUCUGCUUCAUUGGUCCAGGGUUCACCAGUUCAGAUCCUGGGCACAGACAUACACACGAUUCAUCAAGCCAUGCUGUGGUGGCACCCCACCUAGAACUAGAAUGACCUACAGCUAGGAUACACAACUACGUACUGGGACUUUGGGGAGAAAAAUAAAAAAAGAGGAAGAUUGGCAACAGAUGUUAGCUCAGGGCCAAUCUUCCUCGCCAAAAAAAAAAGCAUACUUAAAAAAAUAAAACAAAAAUAAUAAUACCCUCAUUCCUAUGAGCUCCAUUUUUCUCACUAAGGAUUUAUGUAUUUAAAAACACAUUUUGAAAGUCCACUAUGUGCUCUGUUCUAAAUGCCUAGGAAACAGGAAUGGAAAAGACCAAGUCCCCACCUCAUGGAGUUUACAUUUAAGUAUGAGGAAAACAGAAAACAAGCACAUAAUCAAAUAAUGAAUAAGAAUUGCAGACAGAGAAGUGAGAUGGAAAGCGGCGAUGAUAAGCCUAGCAAUCAGAGGGAGGGGGCCUGGGGCUGGAGAGAG
This is a long non-coding RNA of Equus caballus (horse), 2123 nucleotides long. Lineage: Eukaryota; Metazoa; Chordata; Mammalia; Perissodactyla; Equidae. The record is from Ensembl.